UACGGAGGGUGCAAGCGUUGUCCGGAUUUACUGGGCGUAAAGAGCGCGCAGGCGGUCGUUCAAGUCGCGUGUGAAAGCCCCCGGCUCAACUGGGGAGGGUCACGCGAUACUGAUCGACUCGAAGGCAGGAGAGGGUAGUGGAAUACCCAGUGUAGAGGUGAAAUUCGUAGAUAUUGGGUGGAACACCGGUGGCGAAAGCGGCUCUCUGGCCCGGAUCUGACGCUGAGGCGCGAAAGCGUGGGGAGCAAACAGG
This 253-nucleotide ribosomal RNA is filed under the name uncultured bacterium. RNAcentral describes it as "partial 16S ribosomal RNA". It matches the Rfam family "Bacterial small subunit ribosomal RNA", at positions 524 to 776 of the family's 1533-position model. The record is from RNAcentral.